GACGAACGCUGGCGGCGUGCCUAAUACAUGCAAGUUGAGCGCUGAAGGUUGGUACUUGUACCAACUGGAUGAGCAGCGAACGGGUGAGUAACGCGUGGGGAAUCUGCCUUUGAGCGGGGGACAACAUUUGGAAACGAAUGCUAAUACCGCAUAAAAACUUUAAACACAAGUUUUAAGUUUGAAAGAUGCAAUUGCAUCACUCAAAGAUGAUCCCGCGUUGUAUUAGCUAGUUGGUGAGGUAAAGGCUCACCAAGGCGAUGAUACAUAGCCGACCUGAGAGGGUGGUCGGCCUCAAUGGGACUGAGACACGGCCCAAACUCCUACGGGAGGCAGCAGUAGGGAAUCUUCGGCAAUGGACGAAAGGCUGACCGAGCAACGCCGCGUGAGUGAAGAAGGUUUUCGGAUCGUAAAACUCUGUUGGUAGAGAAGAACGUUGGUGAGAGUGGAAAGCUCAUCAAGUGACGGUAACUACCCAGAAAGGGACGGCUAACUACGUG
Molecule: ribosomal RNA, 497 nt
Filed under: uncultured bacterium
Lineage: Bacteria
Description: partial 16S ribosomal RNA
Rfam family: Bacterial small subunit ribosomal RNA
Source: RNAcentral